RNAcentral lists this signal recognition particle RNA (239 nucleotides) under Oncorhynchus kisutch (coho salmon). Its description in RNAcentral is "Metazoan signal recognition particle RNA (ENSOKIG00005012717.1)". It matches the Rfam family "Metazoan signal recognition particle RNA". Rfam says of the family: The signal recognition particle (SRP) is a universally conserved ribonucleoprotein. It is involved in the co-translational targeting of proteins to membranes. Lineage: Eukaryota; Metazoa; Chordata; Actinopteri; Salmoniformes; Salmonidae. The record is from Rfam by way of RNAcentral.
GCCGGGCGCGGUGGCGCGUGCUUGUAACCCAAGUCCCCCGGAAGCUGAGGUUGGCGCUCUAUGUCGAACGGGUAUCCGCACUAAAUUCAGUGUCGAUUUAGUACUCAUGGGGUAGCCCGGGCCCACCAGAUCGUCUACGGUGGGCUGCACUGGCCCAGGUCGGAAAAGAAGCAGCUCAAAUCCCAGGCUCCGUCCAGUAGUGGGAUAGCGAAUGUGAGUAGACUCUGUAGUGCAUCCUU